This 253-nucleotide ribosomal RNA is filed under the name uncultured bacterium. Its description in RNAcentral is "partial 16S ribosomal RNA". It matches the Rfam family "Bacterial small subunit ribosomal RNA", at positions 524 to 776 of the family's 1533-position model. The record is from RNAcentral.
UACGGAGAGUGCAAGCAUUAAUCGGAAUUAUUGGGCGUAAAGGGCGCGUAGGCGGUAGAAUAAGUCAGAUGUGAAAUUCCAAAGCUUAACUUUGGAGCUGCAUUUGAAACUAUUUUGCUAGAGGGUUGGCGGAGAAAACGGAAUUCCACGUGUAGCGGUGAAAUGCGUAGAUAUGUGGAAGAACACCUGUGGCGAAAGCGGUUUUCUAGCUAAUACCAGACGCUGAGGCGCGAGAGCAAGGGGAGCAAACAGG